This 198-nucleotide small nuclear RNA is filed under the name Gigantopelta aegis. RNAcentral's name for it is "U2 spliceosomal RNA". It matches the Rfam family "U2 spliceosomal RNA". Rfam says of the family: U2 is a small nuclear RNA (snRNA) component of the spliceosome (involved in pre-mRNA splicing). Complementary binding between U2 snRNA (in an area lying towards the 5' end but 3' to hairpin I) and the branchpoint sequence (BPS) of the intron results the bulging out of an unpaired adenosine, on the BPS, which initiates a nucleophilic attack at the intronic 5' splice site, thus starting the first of two transesterification reactions that mediate splicing. Lineage: Eukaryota; Metazoa; Mollusca; Gastropoda; Neomphalida; Peltospiridae. The record is from RNAcentral.
AUCGCUUCUCGGCCUUUUGGCUAAGAUCAAAGUUCGUAGUAUCUGUUCUUAUCAGCUUAAUAUCUGAUACGUCCUCCAUUGGGGGACAUCGAUAUUAAACUGAUUUUUGAAAGGGGGGUGAGGUGCCCGGGGCUUGCUCCGCCCUCACCACGGGUUGACCCGGUAUUGCAGUUACUUCCGGGAAAUGGCCCACCACAU